RNAcentral lists this ribosomal RNA (252 nucleotides) under uncultured bacterium. Its description in RNAcentral is "partial 16S ribosomal RNA". It matches the Rfam family "Bacterial small subunit ribosomal RNA", at positions 524 to 776 of the family's 1533-position model. The record is from RNAcentral.
UACGUAGGGCGCAAGCGUUGUCCGGAAUUAUUGGGCGUAAAGAGCUCGUAGGCGGCCUGUUGCGUCCGCUGUGAAAUCCCGGGGCUCAACCCCGGGCCUGCAGUGGAUACGGGCUGGCUAGAGGCAGGCAGGGGAGAACGGAAUUCCUGGUGUAGCGGUGAAAUGCGCAGAUAUCAGGAGGAACACCGGUGGCGAAGGCGGUUCUCUGGGCCUGUACUGACGCUGAGGAGCGAAAGCGUGGGAGCAAACAGG